Molecule: ribosomal RNA, 1236 nt
Filed under: metagenome
Description: bacterial LSU rRNA
Rfam family: Bacterial large subunit ribosomal RNA
Source: RNAcentral
UGAGUACGAGAUGCUACGGCAUCGAAGCAGUCUAUGUCAUACUUCCAAGAAAAGCUUGCAAUGUCAUAAACAAAUAAUGCCUGUACCAUAACCGACACAGGUGGGUAGGUAGAGUAUACUAAGGGGCGCGAGAUAACUCUCUCUAAGGAACUCGGCAAAAUGACUCCGUAACUUCGGGAGAAGGAGUGCCUUAUUUUUAUAAGGUUGCAAUAACAAGAUCCAAGCAACUGUUUACCAAAAACACAGGUCUCCGCUAAGUCGUAGGACGAUGUAUGGGGGCUGACGCCUGCCCAGUGCCAGAAGGUUAAAGAAGUUGGUUAGCAUUAGCGAAGCUGAUAACUGAAGCCCUGGUGAACGGCGGCCGUAACAAUAACGGUCCUAAGGUAGCGAAAUUCCUUGUCGGGUAAGUUCCGACCCGCACGAAAGGCGUAAUGAUUUGGAUACUGUCUCGGAGAGGGGCUCGGUGAAAUAGACUUGUCUGUGAAGAUGCGGACUACCUGCACCUGGACAGAAAGACCCUAUGAAGCUUUACUGUAACUUGAGAUUGAAAUUGGACUUUAUCUGCGCAGUAUAGGUGGGAGACGUUGAAAAUAUUCUUGCGGGAAUAUUGGAGUCAUCAGUGAGAUACCACUCUUAUAAUGUUAGAUUUCUAACUUUGUAUCAUUAUCUGGUCAAAGAACAGUUUCAGGCGGGCAGUUUGACUGGGGCGGUCGCCUCCCAAACGGUAACGGAGGCGCACAAAGGUUUCCUCUGAACGUGUAGAAAUCGUAUCUAGAGUGUAAAGGCAUAAGGAAGCUUGACUGUGAGACCUACAAGUCGAGCAGGGACGAAAGUCGGUCUUAGUGAUCUGACGGUGCUGAGUGGAAAGGCCGUCACUCAACGGAUAAAAGUUACUCUAGGAUAACAGGCUGAUCUCCCCCAAGAGUUCACAUCGACGGGGAGGUUUGGCACCUCGAUGUCGGCUCAUCGCAUCCUGGGGCGGUAGUACGUCCCAAGGGUUGGGCUGUUCGCCCAUGAAAGCGGUACGCGAGCUGGGUUCAGAACGUCGUGAGACAGUUCGGUCCAUAUCCGGUGUAGGCGUUAGAAUAUUGAGAGGAGCCUUCUUUAGUACGAGAGGACCGAGAAGGACAUACCUCUGGUGUACCAGUUAUCGUGCCAACGGUAAACGCUGGGUAGCCAUGUAUGGAGAGGAUAACCGCUGAAAGCAUCUAAGUGGGAAGCCCACCUCAAGAUAAG